This 1710-nucleotide unclassified non-coding RNA is filed under the name Hevea brasiliensis (rubber tree). The record is from RNAcentral. Lineage: Eukaryota; Viridiplantae; Streptophyta; Magnoliopsida; Malpighiales; Euphorbiaceae.
AGAAAAUAUCAUGUAAUAUAAUAUUAAUUUUCUGAGUUAUAUAACAAGGAAAAAGCAAAAAAACAAGCAAAACACAGCUUUUUAACCUAGAAAAGUAGAUCUGGUCACACAUUCGACAACUGUAUAAGAUUUGUACUUGACCGGAAACUGAAUGGAACAAAGUUCCCUUCUGUCUUCUUCUUCGUCUUCUUCUUUGAAGGUUCCUAGACCUGCAAUUUCUCUUUGUUUCAUCACCCAAUUCAUUUAACAAGGUAAUUCUUUUCUCUUUUAUUAAAGAUUGAUAUUUUCUCCUUUCUCUGCACUUUUUUCUUUCUUGAAACCUAUUAAGAAGAAGAAAAAAAAGAAUCAGUCUUUUGAUAUCUUUCUGUAUAGAUUUGGUUGUGAACAAUCCUUCAUUUGAUUUGCAAUGUAAGCAAACACAAGAUUUUUAAUGGAGAAUUAUGGGUCUUCAUCUUCUUACCCGUACAAUAACCCCUGUCCAUACCCUUAUCGUCAUCCUCCUCCAAAUCAUGGCUAUCCACCUCCUCCCAAUUCAGAUUCAUACCACCCCUCUGCUUCCUAUCCAUACCCUUAUGCUCAUUAUACGUAUCCACCACACGCUUACGCAUCACCACCACCUGCGUACGCAUCACCACCACCUCCCUAUUCGUAUCCUUACCCUUCAUCUCCAAUUCCACAUGGUUCUCCUUCACCAUCCCUUUCACAUCAUGGCAGUUUCGAUUACAGUUUAUCGCAGUAUCCUUAUCAGCAUCAACCGGGCCAUGAUAGCACCCCACAAGGAGCUUCCCUUUCCUCUCAUCAAAGACAUGAUAUUUGCCCUCCUUUGGGAACUGGGUCAUCGAUAAAUCAUGAUACUUAUAGUGAUUCCGCCAAUUCUCACUCUUCUGCAUACCCACCUUUGGAUGAUCUGUUGAGUAACAUGCAUUUGAAUGAUAAUAAUCGCCCUUCUGCCCCUGCUUCCCCGCCAGCGCCUUCAGUGCCACCAGUGCCUGAUUCCUCUAUUAGCCUUCAUAGUUUGAGUUUGGGGCAUGGAUAUAAACAAGACUUUUAUGGUUAUCCUAAUGACUCCUUUUCAAGUAAUUACGAGGGGGCUUAUUUGGGCCAGGCUGAUUCUUCUGGUCAAUAUUCUACAUCUGUUUAUGCCCAUUCAAGUUCCUCUAACGAUUCACAGCAUAGCCAGGGUACGCAGAUUGUGCCUUGGCAGAAUGGUAAAGCAUCUCUGCGGGUUUUGCUUUUACAUGGAAAUUUGGAUAUAUGGGUUUAUGCUGCGAAGAACCUUCCAAACAUGGACAUGUUUCAUAAGACACUAGGUGAUAUGCUUAAUAAAUUACCAGGAAAUAUAGGAACCAAGGUAGAAGGAAAAAUGAGCCGCAAGAUUACCAGCGAUCCAUACGUUUCAAUUUCAGUAGCUGGUGCUGUAAUUGGGAGAACUUUUGUGAUUAGCAACAGUGAAGAUCCUGUUUGGAUGCAACAUUUUUAUGUUCCUGUUGCACAUUAUGCUGCUGAAGUGCAAUUUUUGGUUAAAGACAGUGAUGUUGUGGGUUCACAGUUAAUAGGAAUUGUUGCCAUUCCAGUUGAACGAAUAUAUUCAGGGGCUAGAGUUGAGGGAGUUUACCCUGUUUUGAAUAGCAGUAGUAAACCAUGUAAACCUGGAGCUGUAUUGAAAAUUUCAAUUCAAUAUACCCCAAUGGAGAAACUGAGCAUUUACCA